RNAcentral lists this transfer RNA (73 nucleotides) under Thermogutta sp. RNAcentral describes it as "tRNA-Thr". It matches the Rfam family "tRNA". From Rfam's summary of the family: Transfer RNA (tRNA) molecules are approximately 80 nucleotides in length. Their secondary structure includes four short double-helical elements and three loops (D, anti-codon, and T loops). The record is from RNAcentral. RNAcentral also lists the same sequence under 1 other name. Lineage: Bacteria; Pseudomonadati; Planctomycetota; Planctomycetia; Pirellulales; Thermoguttaceae.
GCCAGCGUAGCUCAGCCGGUAGAGCACUGCUUUCGUAAAGCAGAAGUCAAGGGUUCGAGUCCCUUCGCUGGCU